This is a long non-coding RNA of Clupea harengus (Atlantic herring), 702 nucleotides long. RefSeq lists it as uncharacterized. Lineage: Eukaryota; Metazoa; Chordata; Actinopteri; Clupeiformes; Clupeidae. The record is from RefSeq and is a predicted model, not a curated record. The transcript is spliced from 2 exons.
UCAGCCAAGGUCCUACUAUGUCUUUGAGGAAAAGGGCAAACCAACUGUAAUUCACAUUCCCCUCUUCAACAUGGAUAACUGCAAAAAUCAAGAAACCAUUGAAAAGGAAAGGGAGAAAUACAAAACCUUCCAACUGCCCUACACAGACAAAGCAAAUAUUGAUCACUUGGCACAUCUGGCAGGACUAAAUGUGAGCAUGAACAAAGAUCACAUCCUGAAAGAGAUCAAAAAAGCUGUGCAGCGACGCAGUGCCCUAUGAAAAUGCCCUCAACGGCCUCUAAGGGGUUAACCACUUAUGCUUAAAACAUGCUUUUAAACGUAGUCACACCUGGCUGAUUUCCCUGUUUAAAAGAGAAAAUUAAUCAAACGCAUUUACAACUACCCUGCUCAUGCUGGCCUUUAACAAAUAUAUCAAAUACUCAUUUACAAAUACACUGAUCUUCUAGCAUUAUUAUAGCUUAAUAGGAUCCAGAGACCUACUUAUUUUGAGUAAAGAAAAUGGAAUCACAUUAUCUUUAUUUUUAUUUUACAUGAUAUGUGCUAUCAUGCUGAUACGAAGGAAGAAUGCACAGAAUCAGGACUGCUGUUAAUGCAGUCUAAGAGGGUGCUGGCUGAGAUGUGAUUUUUGCCUUGAAAAUUGGCUCUGUCAGAUCUAGUCAUUUCCCAAUAAUCACAUUGCAUUUUAAUAAAAGAAUAUCCUGA